Molecule: RNA transcript, 1246 nt
Organism: Gossypium arboreum
Lineage: Eukaryota; Viridiplantae; Streptophyta; Magnoliopsida; Malvales; Malvaceae
Exons: 5
Source: RefSeq, a predicted model, not a curated record
UAUUUUAAUUUAGUUCGGCCGCCUAUAUAUGAAGGGAGAGAGGGAGGCUGGGAGAGUGCUUGCCUUCGGAUAUGUAAACUGCCCUACUUUUCAUUGUCAUCGUAGCUUUACCUUUUUUAUAUAUAUUAUGUUUGAUCUAGAUUUGAUGGUUUUUCUUUUUCGUUAGUGUCUUUGUCCAUGGACAUCACUGUUGGAUUUUUUGUUGUGUCUCUCUGCCACUUGGGUUUGUCACCGACAUCUGUACCUUGUCAUGAUAGAGAGAGAGAGAGAGAGAAAGACAAGUGAACCUGCCAUAAGACCAGUGAGUGGAUGUUGAUGAUAAGAAAGAGGGAGAGAAGGAGUUCUUCUUCUACUUCUUUCUUUGAUUCUUCUUUCAACGUUUUGGGUUUUGGUUUUGUGAGAGAAAUAAAACCCUUUUUCUGGACACGUAGUUGAUUCUAAUACUGAAAAAGGCAUGGAUCGUCGAUUUUGAGGUGAGUAAAGAAGAGACUACUUGGACUUGGAUUUCUAAUGGAGAGAUGGUCAAAUUAUGGGAUCCUCAAAUGUCAGCCUGUCUGCAAAUAUCCAGAAUUAGCAGAUGAAGUUCAUAUAAUAAGCUGUACUUCAAGUUUCGCACUAGAUAUCAUGUCUUGAUAGAGAUCAAUUAUCUGCACGGAUUCAUGACAAUUGCACGAUAUGGGAGCAUGAUGGUGCUUGGAACCAUGUUGGAAUCCUUGGUUUUUUACUUCAAAACUUUUUCAAUGAAGAAGAUGCAACGAAAUUAAGUGUUGUACAUGGAGGUGAUGUGUGCACAUUGCAUGGCCUGAAUUCUUGCCAAUGUAAGUACUAAACUUCAACAACUAAAACUUUUUCAUUGGUGGAGUACAUUCUAAAUAUCAAUUUUAGAUAGAAAAGUUUAUAGUGCUUCACUUUGUCGACUUCAAGAGCAAGCAUUAUCUUUGUUAUCCGGACCAACUGCAUCGGAUAUAGGUAUAAACGUUCAAGUUUUCCUUUGAAUGUUUUUGGUAGGUAUAUUUAGAAGAUCAUAUCCCAUACUCAUAUUCAAGUGUGGGGACUUUGUUGUGGGCGGGAAAUCGAUGCCUAUAUUCGAGCACUAGACAUAGAAGUUAUUACACAGUUACAUAAAUAAGGUGGUGAUGGUUGUUUUGUGUUGGAUGAAAAUGGUAUUGUCAAAAGCUGGAAGUUGCUAUCAACUCACUCAUUCUUAAUGAUUAAGAUGAUAAGUAAACAUCGAAGUUCAAUCUGA